GGGACCAAUCAUGAGAACAUGUCAUGAAACAAGGAUUUGAUUAAUUUCAUUCUGUGUACUUGAGAGUCAAA
RNAcentral lists this small nucleolar RNA (71 nucleotides) under Choloepus hoffmanni (Hoffmann's two-fingered sloth). RNAcentral's name for it is "Small nucleolar RNA SNORD112 (ENSCHOG00000015741.1)". Lineage: Eukaryota; Metazoa; Chordata; Mammalia; Pilosa; Megalonychidae. The record is from RNAcentral.